Molecule: unclassified non-coding RNA, 1666 nt
Filed under: Orussus abietinus
Lineage: Eukaryota; Metazoa; Arthropoda; Insecta; Hymenoptera; Orussidae
Description: ferrochelatase, mitochondrial, transcript variant X2
Source: RNAcentral
GUGUCAUUGCGAAUGAUUUGACAAAUCUGUGUCUCGAAACUAACAUAUUUUUUCUAUCUGAAUUGUUGCAAUAGUUGCAUUCGACUAACUCAGCAUGAGGAUUGCAUAUAUUUCCAACUUACUCCUUUUUGGUAAGCAAUGUGCGAAAAUACAAAAUCGCAAUGUUCGUCUUGUGGCGACGGCUGCCCAGGUUAAACGACAGGAAGACGUUAAGCCGAAGACAGCGAUACUGAUGUUGAACAUGGGUGGCCCAAUUAAUAUCACCAAAGUGCCUGAAUACCUCUUACGUAUUAUGACCGAUCGUGACAUGAUUCAACUUCCAAUGCAAAGUCAAUUAGGACCAUGGAUUGCCAAAAGGCGAACAGCUGAUGUACAGAAAAAGUACGAGGAGAUCGGAGGUGGCUCACCUAUUUUAAAGUGGACUAACAAGCAAGGCGAAUUGUUGUGCAAACAGUUAGAUAAAAUUUCACCAGAAACGGCACCACACAAACACUACGUUGCUUUCCGAUACACCGAUCCUUUGACAGAAGAUGCUCUCAGAGAUGUAGAAGCGGACAACGUUGAACGUAUCGUUGUAUUCUCACAAUAUCCUCAGUAUAGCUGUGCGACGACAGGAUCGAGCUUUAAUGUCAUACAUAAUUAUUAUCAGAAAUGGCCAGUGCCACAAAAUAUGAAGUGGACUAUAAUUGACCGAUGGGCCACGCAUCCACUUCUUGUUGAGACUAUUGCAGAGCGAAUCAAAGCAGAAUUAAUUCAAUUUCCCAGCAAUAUAAGAGAUGAUGUGAUAAUUCUCUUCUCAGCGCAUUCCUUGCCAUUAAAGGCAGUGAACAGAGGUGACCCAUACCCAUCGGAAGUUGGUGCGACGGUGCAACUAGUCAUGGAAAAGUUGAAAUAUUGUAACCCCUACAGUUUAGUCUGGCAGUCGAAGGUAGGACCAUUACCUUGGCUUGAACCAUACACUGAUGAUGCUCUGAAAAAUUACGUCAAGCAGGGGAAGAAGAAUUUCAUUUUAGUUCCCGUUGCUUUCGUAAAUGAACACAUCGAAACCCUUCACGAGAUGGAUAUCGAAUACUGCCAUGACUUGGCAAAAGAACUCGGUAUUGAAAACAUCAGACGAGCAGCAGCACCGAACGAUCAUCCACUAUUCAUACAAGCGAUGGCAGACAUUGUAGUAUCUCGUCUAAGGUCGAACCAACCUGUAAAUCCAAAAUUCCUCACCCGAUGUCCACAUUGCGUUAACAAAAACUGUGCAAUUAGCAAAUCCUGGUAUGCGAAGAUUUGCAACAAAGUGUAACACCUUUCAUAACAAGUUAGGAGUGCGGCAUCUAUCUCCUAUUUAUAAUAAUCUUGCGAAGCAGCAAUCAACGUCAAUCAUUCUUAACAAUUAUGGGACGAAAAAGUGCCGUCAAGAGGGAUGACGAUAUAUUUUGCUGUGCCGAGUGGUCGGUCUAGAGGCACCUACUUUUUGAAGCAUCGUAACCUUUCCUUGUAUCAUAAUCCACAAUUUACCACUUCCGUCAAGGAGGAGCGUCAACUGUAAAUCAUGGAGAUGCGCAGAACUUAUCGUUACAGAUGGCGAGUCAGCUUGUGGUAUUACUUCGAGGUUAGUAUAAUGUACCUUCCGUGCAAUUUAUGAUAUAGGAAUAAACGCAGUUCAUUUUUACCA